Molecule: ribosomal RNA, 263 nt
Filed under: uncultured bacterium
Lineage: Bacteria
Description: partial 16S ribosomal RNA
Rfam family: Bacterial small subunit ribosomal RNA
Source: RNAcentral
GUCCAUGCCGUAAACGAUGUCUACUAGCCGUUGGGGCCUUUGAGGCUUUAGUGGCGCAGCUAACGCGAUAAGUAGACCGCCUGGGGAGUACGGUCGCAAGACUAAAACUCAAAUGAAUUGACGGGGGCCCGCACAAGCGGUGGAGCAUGUGGUUUAAUUCGAUGCAACGCGAAGAACCUUACCUGGCCUUGACAUACUAGAAACUUUCCAGAGAUGGAUUGGUGCCUUCGGGAAUCUAGAUACAGGUGCUGCAUGGCUGUCGU